RNAcentral lists this long non-coding RNA (21232 nucleotides) under Hordeum vulgare. RNAcentral describes it as "long non-coding RNA (HVUL_LNC015672)". The record is from RNAcentral. Lineage: Eukaryota; Viridiplantae; Streptophyta; Magnoliopsida; Poales; Poaceae.
CCGGUGCAUUUUCUUUUCAGCGAAGCGUAUUUUUCCAUAGAUGUCUAUGUAUAUGUGUUUUCCUUGCUAGGAAGCGUAUAUCUGGCCGAAACGUUUUGUUUUCUAAAUUCUUUUAAAAACAUAUUUGACCAGUAUAUUUGACUGGCUCUAACUUUUUAAAUAAAACUCCGUAUGGACUGAUUAUUUUUCCUACCUCUCUCAAAUUUAAUAUAGUGUAUUUUAAGAUUUAUUUCAAAAAUAUUCAAACAACUUUUAUGUGUUGUUUUGGAGUUGCAUGUUGAAUGGUAUUAUUUUUGAAAUACGGAUUUGGAGGGAAGCGAACUGCUUCAAGAUUUUUAGGGUGUACACCACCCGCCUCAACUCCAAAGGCAAGCACCUUGAACUCUGAUUUGUGCUAAGAUGUUUGAUGUUUGUUGUGGUGCAUGGGAAUCUAUGAUUUCAUUAUUUUGAUAGGAACUCUCGCAUAAAAUCAUACUUGCAUGAGUGCAUGUGAUGGAUAAUUAUGUUGCCGAACAUAUAGGAUGCAAACGGUGAGUGGGUAUUUCCUCAUGCGUCGUAUGCCAAGUUGGUCUGGACGACCUCGGAGGAAGGUUAGUAAGGGUGUAUAUGAGACCAUGGGGCUGACAUCUCAUGGGACGAGAGUGGUCAUUAAAGGCUUGUCGGGGAGUGAUGGUAGUAUCACUGAGGUAAUUAUUUCAGGAAGAUUGCCUGGUACUAACCCUUGCAGGAAAUCUUAAACCUCCUAAGUCGACCGUAGACCGAGUCUUGUCUGUGUGUGACCUUACCUUUCAUGCUGCCACAGGUCUUCCCGAAGGGGAAUACAGUUUACUAGGUCGUAAACCUAUUACCAGGUACACACCAAGUAGAGGGGCCGAGAUGAAGGUAUCCAUGGCACUGGACUAAAUCUAGUCAUCCGUUCAGGGGGGCAUGGGUGUUUCCGGUUUGGGACUGAGAGGGAAUGGCCAUUCCAUUGUAGCGCGCGGUAUAAAUUUGAUCCCAUGCUAGUUGAGGUUGGAGUCUCCCCAUCUUAUGGUUUUUCACCGUUAGAGUAGCGCGGGUGAGGCCGGUCUUCGUGGGGGAAAAUGGGUGUGUACUGGUUCUCGGCGUUUACUUAUGAGAUACCGUACACGGGAUUAGUACACGUGACUAUUGAAACCCGUGGGUUGUGGGUAAAGAGUACACCCUCUGCAGAGUCAAAGCUAUUCGAGUAGCCGUAUUCACGGUCAAGCACAACUGGUGGACUAGUCAAGUGUCGGUCUGAGUGUUGGUCUUUGGAGGAAUUAGACUUAAACAGGAUAAUUCGUGUGAACCGGGAUGAUAAGUAUUGCUAUUAUUAUGAAUUCUGUUAUGGACUAAUCCUGUGUGAUAUAAGGAUUUAUUAGAGUGUCCUUGGGACGGUUCUACCUCCAGGGUACUAGAUAUAUCUAUUAUUUUAUUAUGGCCUUUUUGUGGUGUCGCUCAAACGCCCGAUUGUGGCGAGUAUUUAUUUUAUUAUGCCCUUUUUGUGGUGUCGCUUAGACGCGUGACUCUGGCAACUAUUACUACUUUCAUAUAAGCUCUUUAUGUGGUGUUGCUGAGACGCCCGACUGUGCCAUGUAUGCUAUUACUUAUUCAUUCUUACCUUCAUAUAAGCCCUUUUUGUGUUGUCGCUCUAGACGCCCAAUUGUGGCACGAAUAGUAAUUUUCCUUUUACAAGCCCCUUUAUGCUUUGUCGCCGAGAUGCCCGAUUGUGGCUUGUAUUGCAUGUCCUUCCGAUGUGUCGCCUCAGAUGCCCAAUCAACAAGCUUAUAAUUUACUGUUACCAAUCCUUGCUUGCUUAUACAACAUUGGUGGAAAUGGUUUAUCUGCAUGAAUGCAUCCAUGAAUUAAUUCUUAUCGCAUGAUAUAUUUAUUAAGGGAAUUAUGCAUGCAUCUCACCUACUUUAACUUAUCUGUUUUCUAGAUGUUUGCGAGUACAUUCAAAGUACGAACUGGCUUGUCCCUGGCUAUUGUCUUCGCCAGAUUUCAUUGGAGAGGAGCACGAUGUCAUCAACCCCGCGAAUCUAUGAGUCGAGGAUAGCAGCCUUGUGAGAUAGGAACUUAUCCAGGUCAACUAUUCCUGUGGAAAUGGAGUUCAUGGGCACUGGAGAUUCCUCGAGUCGCUUCCGCCGUCAGCCUCAAACUUGGUUCAAACCAGUGGACCUUUAUAGUCUUGUCACCCAAACUUUGUAUUUUUUUCUUGGUAUUUAUGUAUCAAGUGAGUGUCCACUAGCUAACAGAUUCCUGGGGCUAGUGAACAUAAGGGCCUGUUUUCUGGAAAUUGUUUUCCGAAAAAGCAGUCGCCACAACCUUGGUAUCACAGCCAAACUGACCAUUGGUUAAACCUAUCUUAGCCCGGUCGCUAUCCCUAGCCAAGAUAUUUAUAUAUUCGCAACCCAGCGUAGCCUGCCCAUUCACCAACUUAAGUGGCCAUCCGACAUGUUUGGAAGUCGGUGCCCAACAUGUCAGCCCGUGUUUAAGUUGUGUGACUGUGGGGACCCCGACUUACUAGUCGAGAAUCGCCGUGCUCAAUGAUCCCAGAGAUCCAUGCUCACCGAACAUAGAUGCCGAAUAAAAGAGUCUUACAUCCAUCCAUAUCGUUUGAUACAACAAAUGACCACUUCAGUCGAGUCUUACAUAAAUAGGGCCUUAAAGGCCUACACUUGAAACCGAACCAAUAGNNNNNNNNNNNNNNNNNNNNNNNNNNNNNNNNNNNNNNNNNNNNNNNNNNNNNNNNNNNNNNNNNNNNNNNNNNNNNNNNNNNNNNNNNNNNNNNNNNNNNNNNNNNNNNNNNNNNNNNNNNNNNNNNNNNNNNNNNNNNNNNGAAUUAUUGGUUGAAAGCGUGAACCCAUGCCAUCGGCCUUAACCCACAGGCAUUCUGAGUGGGAAACAUCCUAGCUCACAUGAACGUCACCGAGUUAAUCUUCACCAUAUCCUGUCUUUCACACCUGGUCAAUGAAAUAACCAGUGGCAAGCCAAUGAGUACUUUGAAUGUACUCGCAAACAGCCCAUGAUAUGAACAAUGAAAGUGAAGGAUGACAAUGUCAUGCAUCUCUAGUAUAACUCAUCUGGGUGGAAUGAUCAUGAUAUGCAUCAAGAUAAAUAAUUACUCUUGAAGAACAGGUUACAGAUACCAAUAUAUCUGUCGAGGGCUGAACCAUCCGGAUUCACCCUAUAUGCCAAGUCACCGAACUUGGUCUUAUCAUUGCUAUCAUAGAAACAUCUUUCUCAACACCACACACACACACAACUCAUGCACGCCUGGUUUAUGCGGAAAUAUCAGGACGUAGUUUAAGCAGGAUUACCCAACUGUCCUUGACCGUGGACACGGCUAUUCGAAUAGUUUACACUCUGCAGAGGUAGCGCGCUGUACCCACGAGAAUCAGGAAACUUCCGUGUCAUCCACGACUCGCGGUAGAUCACAUAUACCCGAGGUAAGUACCCGAUCAUUAUCUUUCCCCUAACGGUACUAAACAAGGAGGUCCAUUCGAUUGGUACCUAGCCCACAUGUUGUACGUCUUAUGAGCACCGACUCUGCACAGUAUCAACCAUGCGGGGACCAAUGGUGUGCCUGGAACUCAUAAAAAUGGCAUAGUCGCCCUUCCUGGCACGACCCCAUCACGAGAGUGACGACAAUCACUCCUGCCACUAGUAAUGUGGCUCCUUGCUAGUACCGACCAGAGUAAUCAACAAAGCCCCGUCCCAUAAAGGGGUAACGUGGUCGCACAGGUGAGGUUGGGACGGUCCACACAUCAUAUAUCUAAUCCCAUUUCCGAAACCAUACUCACACAAAACACUGGUGCACCACUUCACCAAAAGUGGCCACCCAUCUCAUCAUCACCCUCGGGCAUUAGUGGCACCCGACGGAUUUUUUCAUAAGCCUUUGAUUUAACUCAUCAUCAUGCUCAUGCAAUGGUUCUCUAACUCUACUAGUCAACAUGAUAGUAGCAUGAUCCUCAUAGAUGGUAGGAUCAAGCUCAUCAUGCUUGUGCUCCGAGGAGCCAUAUGUAUAACAUCACCAUCAUGCAAGUGCUUCGAAGAAGCCUUCGGUAACAUCACACCAAUGAUGAACCGGCACUAUGAUCACAUGCAACGGAAAAGUACUUGCUAUUCUAGCAUGCAUCAAUUUAUAUGCUCAAGUCAUGGUCAAAGGGCUGCUUGCCUUGCUCACGUAAGUCCUCGGGGUCUUCGAGGUCUUCCGCUCCAACUCCGAAUACUUCGUCUACUGUCCACUAUCGUCGGAAACAACCAUAGUAAGCCAUAUAGCAAGCAGAAUAAAAGUGUUCUAUAAAUAGAAGUUCUAUUUUUCUUGGACCUCUCUGGUCAUAAGAAAAAUACCUGAAGCUUCUCACACGAGAUUUGAAUCAUCAAGGAUUUUUAAUGGAUGGAAAGAGCAAUAGGUGAUCAUUGAAGAAGCCAACAGAAAUCAUUCUGUUAAAAGUGAGUGAAGGCACCCAUUUAACAGAGAAUGAUUUUAGAAAUAUUUAGGAAGUGGUUUCAAUGGAUUUGGAGUUGGUAGGAAUAUUCUAGAGAUUUUACAAUGUGGAAUAAAUAGCAAUAGGAGCUAUUUAUUUAUUGCAACAGAAAUAAGCCACACAAAAAUGCUCACCAGGGUUCUAAAAAUAGGGGAUGAUUUUAGAAGACCCUAGGAAUUUGAAUCAGUCCAUUUGGAGUUGAUUUGCAUCCUAGGGAAAUUUCCAAAGUGGAGUCAAAUAUCGACAAUUGUGGAUUUAAAUUAAAAUGCAACAGAAAGUGGGUGGGGAAAAUGUGGAAAGCACUUAUUUGGAUAGGCCUCAUUUUUAGGAUCCUGCAGAAAUUUGAAUCAAUGAAAUUGGAGUUAGAAUGAUUUUAUAAUGGAAUUUUGAAACUUGCAGAUAAAUGAAAAGGAGAAAGUGGUCUCCCGAUUUGGCUAUCAUGCGCACUAGGCACUAGGUAGGACUUCGGGCUGGACCAGUUGCGUAGACCGGCCGGAACCCUGGUGACGCCGAAGGCGCACUUCCUGGAGUAUGUCUCCUGCGCAGGGACACACGAACGAGGGAGGGCGCGACCACUUAAAGCUGGGGGCCCGACCGGCGUGUGGCUGACGCGGGGGCCCCGCCUGUCGGGCCCUUCUUCCUCCUCCCACUCGAUCUGGGAAUAGGCAGGGGAGGCAGGGCCGGCCGAUGCAGGACCGGAUCCGGUGGCGCUCCGGCCAUCCCCAGCCAAGGUGAGCGCACCUGCGGGCUCGGGGGACCGCGCCGACCCCAUUCCCUUGCACGACGCUUGUAGGGAGCUUCGGGGAGAGCUGCCCAUGGCCGCGGCAGAGGGCGGCGAUGGAGGCCGUUGGGAGAGGAGCUCUGGCCACCUGGAGGGAAGAGGGAGGAUGGGGACUGGUGCCGCAGGUUAGGAGGUCCUCCUGGAGGCGCUAAGGAGAAGGAGGGAGCUCGGGGAGGCUCGGAUUCGAGCAUGGCCGAAACGGCCAUGGCGACGGCCAUGGAAGAAGAGGUGGGGAGAAGGGCUUGGGAGAGAAGGGUGGAGGCUCAUGAGCUUCACCGGAGAAGGGGAGAGCCGAGUGUGCGCCACAGAGGCUCAGGGAGAGGAGAUAAGGGAGGGGGAAUGGAGAGAGAGCUCGGGAGCUCCCUGGAGCUUCCUGGCAUGGCAAGGACACACGUCCCUGGGCACCUUGGAGCUUAGCCAGCAUGGGGGAGGAGCUUGAAUAGUCAAAUGGGGUUCCCUGGUGCUCAUAGACAUGCUGCAACGGUGGGACACGCCCUGGAGAAAGAAGACAAGGUGCAGAGCACCGUUUCUGCAUGCCAGGGAGGUGGUCACCAUGGCCACUCAUGGCCACAUGGCAUACAAGUCCAGUCAAGCAUGUCUGGCACGUAGGGCACACCUGCAGCAAGAAGACUCUUGAGUUUGGCAACUAGUGGAGGUGGUCUGAUGUGGUUUGGACUCUGGUUUAGUUUGCAGCAGCAAAAUAGGGGCUGGCAUAAGGGGUUUUUAUAGGAGGGGAUGGGAGGUGAAACCAUGUCUAGUAGUGUUUUCAAUAAAAGGACUACAAGACUGCAAAGUUCCAGUUCAAGAAAGCAAGUGUAGCUAGUACUUGCUGUACAAAGCCACAUUUCAGCCAAAAAUGAACUUGAAGAGGUGUUGCUCAUUUUUCCUACAUGAGCAUGCCAUCCAUUGGUUUGAAAUGAUGCAUUGACACACCAGAGAGGCUCUGGAAAGAAUUGGGGGUGAUAGCUUAAGCAGAAGAAUGGAAAGAGAGGUAAAACAGUGCUGCGAAGGGUGAAAAUGAUAGAAAGUUAAAAAGGGACCUUCUCCAAUAAUUGACCAGUGGCCAAGGAAAAGUUACUAGAAGUAAAAUGUAACUAGUUAUAGCCGCGGUAGAAAUUUGAGCUCAAGGGUAAAAGUGGAAGGGGCAAAAGAAGCCAAAUCAGUGAGUGCACACAAGGUGUUUGAUCUAUGGCUAGGCAACCAGAUGGAUUUCAAUGGCUAUGGAACUUAACAGGGUCAAAUAAUAGAUGAAAAUAGGCUUGCAUACCAAAUUUGGGAUUUGCUGGAGAAGUUAUCCAAUGUAGACUUGGAAAACCCAUGAAAUGGGCAGAAAUGACUUUAUGCCUACAACCCUAUUCAAAUCAAUUCCCACAAAUCCAAUAUUUGGUGUAGGGGCAUUAUUUGAGCAUUAAAGCAUGCACAAAAAGUUUGAGGUCAAUUGGAGAAACUUUUUAAUGUAAAGUUUACAAAAGUCAGAAAUCAACAGAGAGGGUUUUGAGGUUCUUAUGGCAAGUUCUUAUAUUCUCCUUGGUGUACCACUUGGUGUGGAUCCCUUAUUGGAGUAGUAGAACAUGUCCACCAAAUUUGAGCACAAUUGGAGAUACUUCACAAUGUAGAGUUGCUCAAAUUUGAUUCUGGACAGAUAGGGUUUUAGAGUAGUUAGGGGAGCCAAAUCAACUUGGAUUGAAAUGAAACUUGGCAAGAUCAUCAUUUAUAUCAUAGAUGACAAGCUAAAGUUUUACUGGAAUUUAUUGAUAAUAUUUCUAAUAGAAAUAUUUUAAAAGCUUGAAAUAGGCAGGAAUGGUUUUGGAGGGGUUUGCCCAAUAUUUUGAACAUGACCAGGUGUUCAAACUCAUAAAUAUGGAAUAAGUAUAUCCAUUGAGUUUCCCUAAAUUUUCUUAAAUAUUUUGAAAGCAAUAAAAAUAACUUUCCUUCAUAAGAGACCAUUUGUGGUCUCACAGAAAGGCUUUUAAUAUAAAAUAAUAAAGUAACUUUUAAAAUAAUAAUAUGGUGGUUUUUGGAAGACCUUUCGAUAAUAGGUUUUAAAUAAAAUAAUUGGUGCAAAAGAAAUUCCCUAAUUUGAGGACUUGUAGUACAAACCUCAUCUCAGGGGUUUGAAAGUUUAAUUCAAAGAAAUGCUUUUUGGGUAAAAAUAAAUAUUGGUGAAAAUAGAUAUUUGUCCUAAACACAUGGCCUCAUCAUUAGGCAGGAGAUCAUGGGUUGAGGAGGUGAUUAAGGGAGUGACAGGAUUUAUGGGGAGCAAUGACAUGCAUUCAAGCAAACAAGCAAACAAUGGUCACUCCAAGCAUCACAAGCAUUCACAAUUUUUUUAAUUGGUCCUAACUUUUGGAAUUAGUUAAUUAGUCAGGAAGGCCAAAAACUGGUGUUACAGACCUUACCCCCUUAAGAAAAUCUCGUCCCCGAGAUUUGUUAAGGCGGAAACAAGGGUCUGCUCCUGUUAUGCUGCAGGACUUACUGGCAGCAACAAUCCAAAUACGCGGUCUGAUGGGGUCACCUCAAGAGUACCACUUAUUGGUGCAUCUGCGUUCUACGAGGAUGUUGGAGAAAGGGAAAGUUGUCAUACAUGGUUGCUAGUCGUACCUAUUGCCCGGUACUUACUCCGGCUGACAAGUGGGCCCAGGGUCCGCCGUCAGCCUCUUAUUCUCCCUCUGAUUCUUCUUUCUUGGGUGAGUCCCCUGUGCUGCCUCCACUUGUGGUGCCUAGGGUGUAUGGUGUCCGGGGCCACCCUACGAUGGUGUGCGGUGAGCCAUCUACCGGCACACCGAGAACUCACCUCGCGGGCCUCGUAUGUCGGCACUGCUGUGGGAUUCCCAGCGAGAACCGACGGCCAAGCGGCAAACGGGGCUGGUGGCCUGGCUAGUGGCUCUCCGAGCCUGGCUAUAAAUUGGCCAGGGAGUCCUUCUCGUGCUCCACCCAGCCUCGCCACUUGCUGCUGCUCCAGUCCUCUUCUUCUUCUUCUGCUGCUGCAAGUGCUCAAGGAAGGAUGCCAAUGGCGGAUGAGACUCCGGGGUGGCUCAUCAUCUUCCUGUCCGGGAUGGUGGCGUUGUUGGUCGGGGUCUCGACGCUGUACUGCGCGAUUGUCCACGAUGAUCGCCAUGAUGCUGCCGCCCGCAUGGCGGUUCUCCGCGGCGGCAGAGUUCAUGACGAUUAGGCACCUGCUCGGCGAACGCGUGGUGUUAGUGUGCCAUUGGUGUCCUUGCGGUCUCUUCUUACGAAGGAACCGAGGUGUGCCAUAGUGGCAAGUGGUUAGGCGUUGGUGUGCUGUGUGGUCGUGGAUGCAGUUGGUCCGGGUGGAGGUUUCUCCUGGUGGGUUUGUCCUUGCUGGCCUUACUGUCUUGUGAUUAACGUAGUUGAUGCUGGAGUUGCAAUAAAAUGCGUCGUUCUUCUGUGUCGUCGAGGCUCCUUGAUCAUGUGGAUGCUUCACCACGCUCGUGAAGACUAUCUUUGGUUGCCGGGGUUGUAGUCUGCGGUGUCUGUGGUCCAGCUAAACAACACUGAGGUACUUGUCCUCUUAAUGGGUGAAUAAGUAUGUCAUCAGUGAGGAAGACAACAUACCUUCCCCAAACAUGACAUAAGCUCAGUUCUCGAGAGUCAGGUGAGGAAAACGGGACUUUCUAUGGGCGGUACUGGCCAUAUUUUAAUGACUUAGAGUCGUCUUCUAUGGUCGCAGUCCGUCCAUCUUGUGGCUCAGCAAAGCUUUAGGGUCUUAAGGAACUUAGGAUGCGGGCGAACAGUUAUUAUCUUAUCUCUAAGCACAUUCCUUAGAUGCCAAUAGUUUGACCUCUAAUCUCGGGACGAUAUCACCUCAUCUCAUCAAAGAUACCAUCCCACGGGGUCAACUCCACACCGCUCAUGCUAGUCAACUCUGGGUUGAGGGCAGAACUAAACCCAAACACUAUAAGUAUGGUAUAGUUUCGAUGCACAUGCAUUCCUAUGCAAUAUCCUCAGGAGGCAUACGAGCUCCUAUGGUUAAAGACUCCACAAAUCCAAAUGUCCAUCUAAGUCAUCCAAUGGACAGGGUACUACAUUACUAUAUUAAGGAAACACAUAGUAUACCAAUCCAAUAUCUUGUUUCCUUUCUAUGAAUACGACCAGGUGAUCCAUCAAUCCAAUCAAUCAUUACUGGACCUAUCACUCCUACAAAUCCAACAUAGAUGGGGUUCUGCAUAAUCUCUUAGAGUCCUCAUAAUUCACAUAUCACUGCAAGAAUUACGUCAUAGUAUAUCCACCAACUUCAAUAAUCAUGGCCCACUACUAGGAAAAGGCUUGCUAAUGGCGCACCUAUUUUUGCUACUAAUGGCGCACUAUAGGUGCGCCACUAGCAUCACGCCAUUAGAUUUUUUUACUAAUGGCGCACCACAAGUGCGCCAUUAGUAUCUGGUAUACUAAUGGCGCACCAGGUAGUGCGCCAUUAGUAUUGCUCAUGGUGCGCCAUUAGUAUCUGGUAUACUAAUGGCGCACCAGGUAGUGCGCCAUUAGUAUAGAUCCCAGUGCGCCAUUAGUAUAGAUCCCGGUGCGCCAUUACUAUAGAUCUAGGUGCGCCAUUAGUAUAGCUUAUGGUGCGCCAUUAGUAUGCCUCCCAGGGCCAUAUUUACCCAUAUGCUCUGGCUUACUAAUGGCGCACUAGUGUGCUGAGUGAUGCGCCACUAGUGUGCUGAGUGAUGCGCCACUAGUAUGAAUAUUAGGUAUUUAUUUUAUUUUUUCUGAUAUUUGCACAGAUUACAAAAUAUAUUAUUGCACAGAAUAUAGAUAGCACAACAUAUAAACAACAGAUUUAUCGAAUACAAUAGAAGAUUAGUCUCUGAAUACAAUUCAUCAUAUUAGUCUCCGAAUUUAAAAUACCGAACAAAGUUAGAACAUUACAAGUCUCGAGACCGCGAGUAGCGAGUUUGUCUUCACAUUACAAGUCGAUAUAUCGACCAUCUAAACUACCAUCACAUAUAGAAGAGAGUUGCGGUCAUCACGAUGAGCAUAAUCGCAAUGAAACUAGUCUUCAUCCGGUUCCUCCAAUGCUCCCUCCUCUCUCCCGCUAGAUAGCGCGCGUAUCUAACUUCCGCCUCCGCCCUUUGGUGUACCCUUUGUAACUGUUACCGCUGAAUCGGUGAACCUGUCUCCGACACUCCUCCCAGUCGUCGUAGACUCCGGGAACCUUACCCUUGUACACGACAUACGACGACAUCUCUAUGCACUAGCCAAACAAAACGUUAGUAGCAAUUCACAGAGACAUACAAGUUCAUUAAAGUUUAAUAUUACAACUAUAACAACACGAUUCAUGGUCCUACUAAUAAAUAGCAUUGAUUAUAUAUAAGUUGAACGACUGUCCGAACCAAAGAGACAUACCAGUUCAUUAAAGUUUAAUAUUGCAACAUGAAUUAGUAGCGAUUCACGGGAACGUGGAUGAAGCCGCCGUAUUUCGUGAUGGUCAUGAAAUUGCGGUCGUUGUCAGCCUGCAUUUGUAGCAUUGUAUCUAUCUCACUAUUGGACAACAGAGAUCUGAGGUAGAACUGCCCCGAGGUACGAAGGACAUCUUGAUGGAUGAUUUCGGCAAACUCCGACUGGAUGCGGAAGAAUUCUUGUCUGAUGUCCGCAUCCUGGAUUGCCGACAAGCGUGCGGCCCAAUCAUUGAGAUUAUUUGGUAGCCGAAGGUGAUUACUGUCCCGUAUGAUCGCCCGCAUGUGAUGGAGGGCGUAGUAGGCAUCCUUCUGACUGCCAGGCGGCUACUUGACGCAGGCGAACGUCGUAUUGUGGGUGAACACGUGCUUGUCGUGCCUGAGACUUGUCCUGCUGAAGGUGCCUCCAGAUAUGGCGUAGCCGGGAAGAGCUUCAUCAAGAACUUUCUUGAUAUUUGUGUAGUCUUUUUUUGACUGACGGUCCGAGUCAAAAUACGUGGCCAUGGAAUAUUUCAGGCUUAAGAGGACGAGUGUGCAACGUGUGUCACUGCACAAAACACGGAAUGUUAGAAAAAAAAGGACGAUCCAAAUCUAAGAAAUCAUAUGUUACGUGGCGAUGAGGGGAUAACUUACCAGGGAAAGUAAGGCACGAGGAAAUUAUCCUUUUCUGAGUUUGCCAGAAUGACGCCUUCGAGGUAUGAACUCGCGACUUGCCGGUCCCCAGCGCUGCCCAAGAUCUUGGCACGCAUAUAGAAGGGGUCGACUAUCACUAGGUCCAGGGCCUUCUCUCUAACGAUCCGCAUCUCCAUACUCAGCGAAAAUAGCCGAACGAAGGUGUAGUGCAGCGGAUGAAGGUUAAACAUAGCGAAGAUGUCAGCAAACCGCAGGACGAUCAUACCCCCGAUGGCGCUAUCGACAAAGCCCUUGCCCUCUGGCACCUUGGCCACGAAAACCGGGUAUGCCACAUUAUUCUCGGAGAGACGCCGCUUCUCCAAACAAAGAACACUGUCAUGCAGACUCCGCAUAGCACCGGUUGCAUCAUUGAGCGGAUUAGUCGGUAGCAUCGGCCUACCCGCCACAUGCACCCUCCUCGAGAUAUCCUUAGGUGAAGGUGGCCCGUCCAGAGCACAGAUCGUACUCAGUGCCGGCUGGCUCGUACCCUUGUUAGUCUUUCUUUUCCGUCCCUUCUUCUGCUGAUGUAAUGGGAUCCAGUUCAUCUGCUCAGAGACCACCUUCUUGAGUGUGUUGGGGCUUAUAAUAUUUCGCACCUCGGCUAUCUGAGGCUCGGUGAAGGCGGCGGCUGGAGGCGUCUCCUCAAAACUAAACUCCAGACAACGCCUGUUGCAAUUGGGUUUCUCCGCGUUACCAGCUAGAUCACGGUCGUCUUUUGCAGGGUUGGGUUCUUGAGAAGGAGGCCCCAAGAAUUCCUCACCGUACCCAUGUUCAGCAAAGUACUUAUCGACCUUGGUAAAUGUACCAUCGUCAUCAUCAUCGUCGUUCGGAACCUGUGCCAUAUGCAUGUCCGGAUCAUGUGCCAUAUGCAUGUCCCGUAGCGUUGCGGCGGUCUUGCCAUGGCUUGGCGCCGGCACGACUAGCGGUGUUGUCUGUGGGGUGGUGUCCCCCGCCCCCAAACGAAUCUGGCUCUUCGGCCAAAGCAAGGGCCAACUUAAGCAGGCGCUGAGGGUCAUCACAUCAUCUAUGUCGGCCCCAGCGGGGUGGAACGGAGGUAACAAGUCAUCGCAGCCUGGCAGCACCCGAACCAGUUGAACCCUAUACAUGGUGGGUGGUAUCGGUUUACCAUGGAGCGUGGGGUUGCCCGGUUGAAUGAUUCUGCCCUUGGCGACAUUGAUCAACUCGCCGCCCAUGAAGUGCAGGAGAGUGCAUGGAACGUCGGCGCCGGCGCCCUGCGAAAACGUGUAGGGCGUCAGCGGAUGCCCAGUCAAAGGCAAGGAGAUGAAGUCAUCGGCCGAGAGAGGCUUAGUUACCGUGAUGGCGUCGAGCUUGGCUAAUGUCGAGGCACCGCCAAUGGCGGGCGUGCAAGUGACGGAGGGGCCGCUUGCUGCCGAGGUGCCGGCCGGCGCCGGAGACACCAAUGGCGUCGCUUGCGCGUUGUGCGAGUUGCUGGCCAUGAAGCUGGGAAUCGGGGGCGGCCCCUGUUGGCCACCCGCAAUCCACGCCUGCAGCCCCUCAAUCAAGGUAGGCACAAUGGCGGUGAUUACCCCUCCCACUUGGUGUUGCACUAGCUCUUGGACCAUCUCCGGAAUCCUCGCCACUUUUGCCUUGAGUUCUUCAACCUCGCGCGACUGGCUUACCAAGUUGGUAUUUCUCUCCUUUCGCCCACCAGCGUUAUAGUAUGACGACCAUUUCGUGGACAAGUUUUUUCCGGCCACACGACCAGCUGACGACGGCUUACUGGACUUAUCCUUGUUUUUCAUUACGUUAAACGCCCUAUUUAAAUUGGUGUCCCAAUGGGAGCUCUGAGACGACCCCGCGCUACUGCUUUCAGUGUCCUGCGGAAGGAAUGAACCAUUUAUAAAUUUGGCUUCAUUAAUUAGAAUGCAACCAUAUGGAGUUAAUUACGUGGGGUGUAUUCCUUACCACAACACGCUCAAGCGCCCUGGUCUUCGCAUCCGUGGUAAGCUCCUUUGUUACUGGGUCCACCUUGUACCGGGCCCUGACAUAGUUCCUGGUCUGCUUGUCACCGUAUUUCUCGAAGCAAGGUGGUAGGCCUUGCUCGGCACGCUCCGCGUCCUCCUUGUCCCAUAUAGGUUCCGCCACUCUGUAACCGCCGGGACCGAGUUGGUGGACCCCUAAGUUCAACUCCCGCAUUUCUUUCCCCCAUUGACUUGAUUCCGCGGUUGCCUUGCUCUCGCACUUGAUCUUGAACUCCUUGUAAUCAUCUUCGCUGAUCGAAGGAUUUUUCGCCUUGAUCUUCUCAUAACUAUCAGCUUUGUCAAUCAUUCUCUUCACCACGCUUCUCCAAGUAGACAGGGCCUUGCUCAUCUUCGUGAGGGCGGCACUGUUCACUUUAUUCCUUGAGAGGCGUGUGUUUGCGACGUCACCGGGGAACUUGUAUCGUUCGUGCAGCUUGGUGAAGAGGAGGUUGCGCAAAUUCCCUCGGUCCUUAUGCCUUAGGUUCUCGGUGUUGAUCGAGACAGUGCUCCGGAGAAUGCACCCGAGCUGAACCGCGUACCCCUUGACUAUUUCUUUGGGCACCGUUGGAUACCCGUCGGAGUUCACUUGUGUAAAUUCCUCCUUUACGGUGCUGAGCACGUUCGGGCGCCGGUCCUUCCGUUGCCUCUUCGAUUGGCUUCCAUCUGUGCGUGCGCUGCCAUCAUCAGUGGUGGCAUCCUCGGCGGCACCAUCAGUGGUGUCAUCCCCGACGCCACUAGGGGUUGUGUACUCGGGAUCGGUGUCUUCCGCGGCGUCCUCAUAGCGGUGAGGUUCUUCCUCCAUCUCCUGGGACAGCUCCCAGAAUGGCUUGCCCGAACUGCUGGCCUCAUCGUUGUGGGCCAUGUUUCGCUCUAAAUAGGAAAAAAGUUUGGUCAAAAAGUUGGGCCUAAUCACUUGGCUCUAUUGCCACCUAUGGUUUAAUGCAGCAAGAAUAAAGGGGUAGUUGAUCCUACUUAAUUAAGUAAUAAUAUACCCCGACCCAUGCAUUAGUCGCAAGUACCCCAUAUGUCCUAUUUUUAGCAAAGUCAUGCUAAAAUUCACGGAAAAUUUCAGCAUGACCUUUGCUGAAAAUAGGACAUAUGGAGUACCCGAAUUUGCCGGAACGGAAGUUAAUCGACAUUCCGGCAAACUCAAGGGCCUCUCGGGGUACCUGCAAAAUCAUCACGACACGAUGGUCGGAGAGCUCGGAGAAGGGUGAGCCCGGGCUCAGAAACGAAUAUCCCAAACUACUAAUACUACUACCAACUUUCUUGCGUGUGCACAACUUUCUUGAACCACCUUUAUUAUGUUGCAGAGUCAUAUAAGGAUGAAACUGAUAAGAAAAAAAGUUUAAAUACAACAUGUUAAAUAUGAAAUCUGCAAUAAAUCUUGGCAGGCUAGUGAAAUAAGCCUCUUGUAUCAAUGCUAGUGAAAUAAGCGGGCAGAGUCACAUUAUGUGUAUUUAAGCCCAGGGGGUGAUGGAAGUAGAACAAAUGACAUCUCCACUAGAGUGCCAAUUCUGGUUUUGGAGCAUCGGGUUCGGUGGCUGACCACGGGCAUAACUAGUUAGUAGUAUGAGUUUUUGUUUUACAGAGUUUCAAGAACCUAUGUGCAAAUAUUACUUGGUAGUUGCUGGUCUUUAGCAAUGAGCCUGUCCUGAAUAGAUCUAAAUCAGAUAUUCCAAGUAGAUGUUUUACUCCAGCAACGAACGAGAAGAAAGGCGUGCUACUUAAUGGCUCAAACGAGACCCCCUCUCGUGGAGAGAGUGCUAUACUAGGGAGUGUUGCUCCCGUUGCCAGAUCACAGAGUCACAAGUUUCUAACUCUAGAUUUACAGUUAGCGUCUCGUCAGAAUGCCAAAAUCAACUCAAGUUCCCGUGUCAAGAGAGAGAAACUAGAUCAGGGGUUUUCUAUUUUUCCUUCAGCAAGACCUCCCAAGGAUGUGCAAAAAACAAGUGGCACAAAAUCUUCUUCUAACGCUAGCUUGGGAAAACUAUCUAAUUUAGAUCUUAAUGUAUCACCGGACCCGGUUGAUCAACUUGAAGGUUUGCCUACAAUGCAGGCUGGCUUGAACAUACCCCAUCAUAGAAUCUUUCAGCAUCAGAAAGCACAUGUUCCCUCAGUGGCACCCUUUUCUUCAGUCAGCAGUCAGCUGAGUCUAAAUAUUGACAAUACUCUGAAACUGUCGAAUGCAUAUCAACUUUCUAAUAAGAGUGGAGCAGCUGAUGUUACCUUAGAUUUGCAACUUAAACCACCAACCAGACCUGAGCUUGGUAUAAGCUGGAAAGGUCUUGCUCCUGAUCCAGAGCUAAGCCUCUCUCUAUUUGUGAAACAAGCCUUUAAAUGUACGAACUUGAAAGAACUAUUGAGACUUCUGCAACAGUUCAGAAAAGUAAUGAUCAAUUCUCUCUAUUAUCAUUUCUAGUUCACAUAGUUUGAUAACUUGGAUGCAUAAAGGCUAUUGAUGUAGAAAAAAAGACACUUUACAAUACCAAGCACAUCAGAGCAGACAUUAGCAAUAUAUCACAGAGAAGUACAUGCCGAUUAACAAGCUUGGGCUUAGCAGUAAUAUUCUGGGAAAUUAUUUUCUUGAAGGCUGAAAAAAACUGGCUUUCCUCUUUAAAAACAGAACCAAAACCAUGACACGGUCACUUAGAAAGCGAUGACGACACCGGGGCAGUUCAAAAAAGCUCGCUCAAUGACGUGCUCAGCCUGGGGCAGCACCAAACGUGGAAGCGCAUCUGCGUCUCUUGGUCCAAGUAUGUACUGUACGUCACUAGUGCUAGUCGCAGCAAUGUGAAUUCAGAAGACAACUGGUUGAUGGGAAUUUUUUUCGUUUUUGUUUUCUGAACAUCAGGGCGAAGAGAGGGGAUCGAGCUCUUGAUCUCUGCUGCGGGAGCGGGGAUUUGGCGUUCCUUCUGUCUCAGAAGGUCGGCCUGGACGGAGAGGUCGGUGCUCUGCUGAAAUGUCGGAUUGGCUUCAGGGUUCAGAAUAUCCAAGCAAUCUUAUUUGGGUUGUCAAUCUCAUGGUACCAACCUCUCUCGAAUGUCACAGGUGAUGGGCGUCGAUUUCUCAAGGCAGCAACUACAAACUGCUGCUAGCCGCCAGGACCAGCGAUGGAAGGCUUGCUACAAGAACAUCAAGUGAGCACCCCCAAUGUGAGAGCUUGGGAAUUCUGAAGUUCCUGUUACGUGCAGUUUUUUUUCCAAUUAGGAUAUGCAGAAUGUGUUUUUCUUUCGAUCAGCUUAACAACCUAUGUGGUUAGCUAAGACAUGCUUUGUCGCAGAUGGAUCGAGGGCGAUGCACUUGAUUUACCUUUCACGGACCGCUACUUUGAUGCUGUUACAGUUGGUUAUGGAUUGCGCAAUGUGGUGAACAAACCCAAAGCGAUGCGAGAGAUUCUGAGCUCCUAAACCUAACCCUAGGUCACCGCCGCGAGGAGAAGGGGAUGAACGGGAGAGGUGGAAGACGACUCACUAGAAUCUGAAGAAGGAGCCGUCGGUGGUGCUCUGCUACUCACCUCGUCGAAGCCCAACCACGAACGCGGAAGCCGUCGGUCACCGCCGUGAGGAGAAGUCCAACCGGAAUCCCCCACGCCUCCGGCGCGGCCGCUGGGCUGGGCUAGGCGGCGGCCCUCUGGAUCGAGCCGGUCGUCGCCGGAACCCGGGCCGAAUCCCACGAACCAAGAAAGAAAGCAAGCAGGUCCGGCGGCGGUCGGCGAGCCGGGAGGCGGCGGGCGCUGCUGUUUGGUGGAAAGGGGGUAGGGGGGAGGCCGCGGGAGAAGAGGAGGGCACGACCUGGCUUAGGAAUGGCGCACCCCGAGCGGUGCGCCAUUAGAAUGUUUUUUUAUAUAGUAAUGGCGCAUGUAUAUGAGGUGCGCCUUCUCUAUAUUGUUAACCUCCGAAGUAGCAGCGAAGUGGUCCGUGGGUUUUGCCUCCUAGCAGGAGGUUACGGGUUCGAAUCCUCUUCCCCCCUCUUUUUUUUCCUUUUUUUUUCUAUGCAUUGUUUUCUUGUUCUGGUUGCACCUUGGUUUGAGAAGUGCCUAGUAUUUUUUUUUGAUGUUUGCAAGUAGAUGUCUAGUAUUUUUUUUGAUGUUUGCAAUUAGAUGCCUAUGAAUAUCUAGUGCCUCACAACAACAUCUAGUGCGGUGGAGCGGGGGAGGGUGCGGGGGGUGCUCGGCGGCGAGGGGGAUCUUGCGUGGGGUGAUAGCGAUCGAGAUGGAGGGGAUCGAGAUCGAGUGUCCUCAUGAAUAUUCAAUAUUUUUUCAUAUUGAAUAUGAAAAAAUAUCAUCAAAUUUAAAUACAAUCGAUCUUAGCUAGCUAUUUGUUCACAAUCUUCUUGCCCUUAUUUUUCGUAAAUGGAGUUCUUCUCUUGAACGGACGUCCUUUAGGUAGGGUGGUCCUGCUUCUUCUUGUGGUGUAUGCUGGUACUUCAUCAUCGUCAUCAUGUUCCAUCUUCGGGUCGCUGUACUUGUCGAAGUCUUGCUCAUUCGCGACUCCAUCCAUUUCGAUGAUCUUCCUUUUGCCUCUCCUCACGACAACACGACUGGGCUUUGGCGGGUCGGUAAUGAAGAAGCAUUGGUCCACUUGGGAAGCCAGUACCCAUGGCUCAUUUUUCGCGGUGACGUUUGCGCCCGCGGUCUUGGAUUUGGCUUCGGGUAUAACCAUGGUGGUGAAAUACCGGUCUUCUUUUAUGACGUUCUUGGCCCAUCUGACACGGAACAUCGGGACCUUCUCUCCAGCGUAGCUCAGCUCCCAGAUCUCCUCGAUCCUUCCGUAGUAUCUGUCCUUGUCGUUACCGGUGUAGGAUUCCAUCGUUACCCCGGAGUUCUGAUAACCAUCGCUCUUCAUGUCCUUUCCCUCGGUGUAGAAUGUGUAGCCGUUGGUAUCGUACACCUCAUACGUCAUCAGGUUGUGCUCGGCGCCCUGUGACAAGGCGAAUAUGAGUUGUUCUUCUGUGGAAGAAUCCUCAUGUAAAAGGUACGACAGUAGCUUCUGCUUGAACCAACGCGUGAAACAUGAGUUGUGCUCUUUGAUUAUAUCUCCGUCCGUCCUCUGUUGGCCUCGGUCAUUGUACGUCUUUUCAAUAAAGGUUUUGUGCUCUAUGACCCAAGGAUCGACCACGUCUAUGUGUUGUAGCGCGACUAGGUUUGCUCUUUCAAAGUCGGCGAGUCGAUCCUCGAAGUCGACAUGCAUUUCGCGGCGACCCUCACGGUGACCCCAUCCUGCGAGCCUGCCGAGGUGCCUGUUGACGGGCAGACCAAUGGGGUUCUCGAUGCCUAGAUAAUUCGUGCAGUAGGAAAUGCACUCUUCGGUCAGAAAGCCCCUGGCUAUGCUUCCCUCUGGACGUGACAUGUUGCGAACGUAUCCUUUGAUGACACCAUUCAUCCUUUCGAACGACAUCAUGCUAUGCAGGAAUGUCGACCCGAGUUGGAUGAUAUCCUCCACGAUAUGGACCAGCAGAUGCACCAUAACGUCGAAGAAUGCGGGUGGGAAGUACAUCUCAAGCUCGCAUAGUAUCACCACGAUCUCUUCCUGUAGCCUUCUGAGUUGCCUCACGCCAACCGACUUCUGAGAGAUGACGUCGAAAAAGUUGCAUAGGCCAAAUAGCAUUUCACAGACGUGCGCGUCCAUGAUCCCACGGAUUCCAACUGGAAGUAUCUGCGUCAUCAGCACGUGACAGUCAUGAGACUUCAUCCCGCUAAACUUCUGCUUCGCUGAGUCUAGGUAUCUGCUUAUCUUCCCCGCGUAACCGUAAGGAAGUUUUACUCCUAUGAGGCAGGUGAAAAACUGAUCAAUCUCCUCCUGACGUAGAGUGAAGCACGCGGGAGGGACGUCAUUUGUGGUCUUCUUGGACUUUUUGCCUUUGCGACGACUUUCCGUGUCCUGCUUCGCCUCAUCAUCAUCAUCAUCAUCAUCAUUAUUAGCGUGAAGCUCCUCCCUGAUGCCCACUGAUUUCAAGUCUGCCCUUGCUUUCGGUCCAUCUUUGGUCCUCUCUGGCAUGUUGAGCAGAGUACCAAGCAGACUCUCGCACACGUUCUUCGUGAUAUGCAUGACAUCAAGGCUGUGAGGCACACGGAGGAUCUUCCAGUACGGCAAGUCCCAGAAAACAGACCUCGUUUUCCAUACCUUCAGCAGCGGCUCUGGCGCAUUUCACUUAUUUCCCGGCUCUGGCGCCUUUCCCGGCGGUGGGCACUCUUUCCAAUUUUUCAAUAACUCGUAUAUUUCCUCGCCGCUCCACAUAAGAGGGCGUCUUCGGGGUUCGGUUUCACCAUCGAACAGAUCCUUGCAUUUUCUCCAUGUGUCAUCGUCGCGAAGCCACCUUCGAUGUCCCAUGAACACGGUUUUUGAAGACCCGGGAUCUCUAUCUAGCUGGCGAGACAUUGUGUCAUCCAUGCACCUGACGCAUCCAGAAAAUCCCUGGACCACCUACCCCGCGACAUAUUCGUAACCGAGAUAGUCGUGCACCGUCGUGAGCAGUGCGGCUCUCAUAGGGAAAUAUUCUUUCUCUGCGGCGUCCCACGUAUUGGCUAGCGUUUUCCACAGCGUGUCUAGCUCCUCUUUCAGCAGCCCCAGAUAUAGAUUGAUGUCGUUCCCUGGUUGUUUCGGCCCUUCAAUUAGCAUACUCAUGUGAAUGUACUUCCUCUUCAUGCACAACCAGGGGGGAAGGUUGUACAUCCACACAAACACAGGCCAGGUGCUAUAUGUGCUUCUCUAGCUGCCAAACGGAUUGACUCCAUCGGUGCUCGUGCCCAGCAUGAUGUUCCUUGGAUCGUCCCCAAAUUCUGGGUAUUCGUAGUUCAACGCUUGCCACUGGCUCGCAUCCUUAGGGUGAUUCAGCAUCUUGUCUUUUUUAUUUAUCUCCGGAUCAUUUCCGUCAUCUUCUCGCUUUUUCUCCUCCCUAUCCGCGUGCCAACGCAGGAGCUUUGCUACCUUAGGGUCCACGAAAUACCGUUGUAGACGAGGAGUGAUCGGAAAGUACCACACCACUUUUCGAGGAGCUUUCUUCCUCUUCUUGUAUCGGCUGACGUCGCACAUCAGACAUAUGGUAGACUCCGCGUGCUCGUCCCAAUAAAUGAUGUAGUUGUUCAUGCACACAUGGUAUUUCACGUGCGGUAAAUCCAGAGGACACACGAUUUUCUUGGCCACCUCGAAACUGGUCGGGCACUUGUUCCCCUUGGGAAGACGUUCGUGCCAGAAUGACAUGUUCUCGUCGAAGCACGCGUCGGUCAUUUUGUAUUUUACCUUCAUCUCCAGAGCCAUGAGCAUUACUUUCAGGCGGGUAUCCUCGGGCCUGCAUCCUUCAUACAAUGGAGUAACCGCGUCUAUCUCCAGUUGAUCCAGCUUGGCUUUCUCUCGGGCGGCAGCUCUUGCGUUAUCUGUCUGCUUGAGAAGCAACUCUUGAAUAUGAGGGUCCUGCACCCAGGCCAUCGAUGGUCCAUCAUCGUCUGCUCCGGCAUCUUCAUCUUCGUGAUCAUGCCCUUCGUCUGCUCCGGCAUCUUCCUCAUCAUCAUGACCGGCAUCUUCUACAUGAUGACUGUGUCCUGGAGAUUCUUCGUCUUCUCGCCCGCCCUCGCCGCGGUUGUCUUGCUCAUGCCCUUCCUCAUUUCUUUCCCGGCCCCCAUGGACAACUUCAUAAUCAUCUUCAUCACCUUGCCACCGAUAGCCAUCCAUGAAACCCCGCAAGAGCAGGUGGUCCCGCACCUUUACGGAAUCCGGGUCCAUAAGGCUCUUCAGCUUGCAUCUUCGACACAGACAUCUUAUCUCCGUCUUGUUCUUUUGAAGCAUCUCGGCCUUCGCGGAGCUCAAAAACCUAUUCACGAUGCCUUCGGUCAUCGUGCGGACCAUGGUCGCCUGCGGGGUAGAGCAAAACAAUAUUUUAGAACCAAAAAAAAAA